CGGCAACAGCUCAAAUUUGAAAUCUGGCCUCUUUGGGGUCCGAGUUGUAAUUUGUAGAGGAUGUUUCGGGUACCGCCUCGGUUUAAAUUUCUUGGAACAGAAUGUCAAAGAGGGUGAGAAUCCCGUCCUUG
This 131-nucleotide ribosomal RNA is filed under the name Exophiala equina. RNAcentral describes it as "partial large subunit ribosomal RNA". It matches the Rfam family "Eukaryotic large subunit ribosomal RNA", at positions 99 to 228 of the family's 3401-position model. The record is from RNAcentral. Lineage: Eukaryota; Fungi; Ascomycota; Eurotiomycetes; Chaetothyriales; Herpotrichiellaceae.